This 45-nucleotide non-coding RNA is filed under the name Schistosoma margrebowiei. The record is from RNAcentral. Lineage: Eukaryota; Metazoa; Platyhelminthes; Trematoda; Strigeidida; Schistosomatidae.
AUUCAAUUGAUGAGUUUCAAAUAGAACGAGACGCGCGUCCUGGAU